AAUAAGUGCAGUUUUGCACUAUUUAUGUUCAACGCUUGACCGUCCGUCUUAUUUGAAAAUUUUUUAUGAUUAGUAUUUUUAUUGCUAUUAGAUAAUAAAACAUGAAUAGUACUUUAUGUGUGACUAAAUAUUUUUAAUUUUUUCACAAAUUUUUCAAAUAAGACGGACGGUCAAACGUUGAACAUAAAUAGUGCAAAACUACACUUAUU
Molecule: non-coding RNA, 209 nt
Organism: Oryza glaberrima (African rice)
Lineage: Eukaryota; Viridiplantae; Streptophyta; Magnoliopsida; Poales; Poaceae
Source: Rfam